ACGACCUUACUUGAACAGGAUCUGUUCUAUAGGAUCGUACUACUGUGUCCUUGAUUUCUAAGGAGACAGGAACAUACGUCUGGAUGAUGAAUGAAGACCGUGCGAUCAGAGCGUGAUUAACGGCUUAGAUGAUUCUCAUGUUGAGACAUCAUCUUGUGCUGUAGAUGAUCGUUCUCAGACACAUGCAUGUGUCUGGGGUGGUUGCACGGUGCUCUUACAGACC
Medicago truncatula (barrel medic) is the source of this 223-nucleotide small nucleolar RNA. It matches the Rfam family "Plant small nucleolar RNA U3". From Rfam's summary of the family: Small nucleolar RNAs (snoRNAs) are involved in the processing and modification of rRNA in the nucleolus. There are two main classes of snoRNAs: the box C/D class, and the box H/ACA class. The record is from Rfam. Lineage: Eukaryota; Viridiplantae; Streptophyta; Magnoliopsida; Fabales; Fabaceae.